This 440-nucleotide ribosomal RNA is filed under the name uncultured bacterium. RNAcentral's name for it is "partial 16S ribosomal RNA". It matches the Rfam family "Bacterial small subunit ribosomal RNA", at positions 338 to 795 of the family's 1533-position model. The record is from RNAcentral.
CCUACGGGUGGCAGCAGUGGGGAAUAUUGGACAAUGGGGGAAACCCUGAUGCAGCGACGCCGCGUGAGCGAUGAAGUAUUUCGGUAUGUAAAGCUCUAUCAGCAGGGAAGAAAAUGACGCUACCUGUCUAAGAAGCCGCGGCUAAAUACGUGCCAGCAGCCGCGGUAAUACGUCGGGGGCAAGCGUUAUCCGGAUUUACUGGGUGUAAAGGGGGCGUAGUCGGUCCUGCAAGGCAGAUGGGAAAGCCCGGGGCUCAACCCCGGGACUGCAUUUGGAACUGUAGAGCUAGAGUGUCGGAGAGGCAGGCGGAAUUCCUAGUGUAGCGGUGAAAUGCGUAGAUAUUAGGAGGAACACCAGUGGCGAAGGCGGCCUGCUGGACGAUGACUGACGUUGAGGCUCGAAAGCGUGGGGAGCAAACAGGAUUAGAUACCCUUGUAGUC